This 497-nucleotide ribosomal RNA is filed under the name uncultured bacterium. Its description in RNAcentral is "partial 16S ribosomal RNA". It matches the Rfam family "Bacterial small subunit ribosomal RNA", at positions 28 to 507 of the family's 1533-position model. The record is from RNAcentral.
GAUGAACGCUGGCGGCGUGCCUAAUACAUGCAAGUCGAGCGAACAGACGAGGAGCUUGCUCCUCUGACGUUAGCGGCUGACGGGUGAGUAACACGUGGAUAACCUACCUAUAAGACUGGGAUAACUUCGGGAAACCGGAGCUAAUACCGGAUAAUAUAUUGAACCGCAUGGUUCAAUAGUGAAAGACGGUUUUGCUGUCACUUAUAGAUGGAUCCGCGCCGCAUUAGCUAGUUGGUAGGGUAACGGCUUACCAAGGCAACGAUGCGUAGCCGACCUGAGAGGGUGAUCGGCCACACUGGAACUGAGACACGGUCCAGACUCCUACGGGAGGCAGCAGUAGGGAAUCUUCCGCAAUGGGCGAAAGCCUGACGGAGCAACGCCGCGUGAGUGAUGAAGGUCUUCGGAUCGUAAAACUCUGUUAUUAGGGAAGAACAAAUGUGUAAGUAACUAUGCACGUCUUGACGGUACCUAAUCAGAAAGCCACGGCUAACUACGUG